AAGUUUAAAAACAUAUCUGGGUCUGCAAACAGCAGCUUCCUUGGUAGUGUAUGCAGCCUGUUUGUUGUAUGGGUUGCUCUAAGGGACCUUGGAGACAGGC
This is a small nucleolar RNA of Rhinopithecus bieti (black snub-nosed monkey), 100 nucleotides long. Its record names the gene SNORA70. It matches the Rfam family "Small nucleolar RNA SNORA70". From Rfam's summary of the family: snoRNA U70 seems to be exclusive to mammals and is a member of the H/ACA class of snoRNA which contain H (ANANNA) and ACA box motifs. H/ACA box snoRNAs are involved in the conversion of uridines to pseudouridines (5-ribosyluracil) a constituent of structural RNAs (transfer, ribosomal, small nuclear, and small nucleolar). Lineage: Eukaryota; Metazoa; Chordata; Mammalia; Primates; Cercopithecidae. The record is from Ensembl.